Molecule: ribosomal RNA, 465 nt
Filed under: uncultured bacterium
Lineage: Bacteria
Description: partial 16S ribosomal RNA
Rfam family: Bacterial small subunit ribosomal RNA
Source: RNAcentral
CUACGGGUUGCUCCAGUGGGGAAUAUUGGACAAUGGGGGAAACCCUGAUCCAGCAAUGCCGCGUGUGUGAAGAAGGCCUGCGGGUUGUAAAGCACUUUCGGUUGGGAGGACUGCUUCUAGCACUAAUAUUGUUGGAAGUUGACGUUACCUUCAGAAGAAGCACCGGCUAACUCCGUGCCAGCAGCCGCGGUAAUACGGAGGGUGCAAGCAUUAAUCGGAAUUACUGGGCGUAAAGCGCGCGUAGGCGGCUAGAUCAGUCGGGUGUGAAAGCCCCGGGCUUAACCUGGGAACUGCAUCCGAUACUGUCUAGCUUGAGUGCAGGAGAGGAGAGUGGAAUUCCACAUGUAGCGGUGACAUGCGUAGAUAUGUGGAGGAACACCAAUGGCGAAGGCAGCUCUCUGGCCUGAUACUGACGCUGAGGUGCGAAAGCGUGGGGAGCAAACAGGAUUAGAUACCCGAGUAGUC